GACGAACGCUGGCGGCGUGCUUAACACAUGCAAGUCGAGCGGUAAGGCCCUUUCGGGGUACGACGAGCGGCGAACGGGUAGGAGUAACACGUGGGUGGACCUCGCCCUCCAGCUCUGGGAGUAAGCCUGGGAAACGUAGGGUCGUAAUACCGGAUAUGACUCCAUGACGCAUGCUGUGGGGUGGAAAGACCUUGUGCGGCUGAGGAUGGGCCCGCGGCCUAUCAGCUUGUUGGUGGGGUGAUGGCCUACCAAGG
This 254-nucleotide ribosomal RNA is filed under the name uncultured bacterium. RNAcentral's name for it is "partial 16S ribosomal RNA". It matches the Rfam family "Bacterial small subunit ribosomal RNA", at positions 28 to 273 of the family's 1533-position model. The record is from RNAcentral.